GAUUUUUCAAAUUCCCACCAACCUAAUAUAAAAAGUUAUCAGCAUAUUCCACAAAAUAAAAUAUAGACCAAUCUCAGCUGUCAAUUAAUCUCUCCGUAUCAGCCUCACGAUCCUACUCAUCCAACGGCUUAUAUUCAACCUCUAGAACUUUCUCAUCCUUUUAUCUUCACCUUCUCUUUAUACAAAUUCAUCAUUUUCGUGCUUGUGCUCUGCUCGUGCCACACUCUCUUUAGGGUUUAACGCUUUGUCUCUUUGCUCCUCGAUAUUCUCUACAGAACUAUUACCAUGACGAAGUGCUAUCCCACAGUGAGUGAGGAGUACGUUAAGGCUGUUGAUAAAGCCAAAAGAAAUCUCAGAGGACUCAUCGCUGAGAAGAACUGUGCUCCUCUUAUGCUCCGUUUAGCAUGGCACUCUGCUGGUACCUAUGAUGUAUGCUCCAAAACUGGAGGUCCAUUUGGUACCAUGAGGUUCAAGGCUGAGCUAAGCCAUGGCGCCAAUAACGGUGUCGACAUUGCCAUCAGGCUAUUGGAACCCAUCAAGGAGCAGUUCCCUACUCUCUCUUAUGCUGAUUUCUAUCAGUUGGCUGGAGUGGUUGCUGUUGAAGUUACUGGAGGACCUGAUGUGCCCUUCCACCCUGGUAGAGAGGACAAGACAGAGCCACCUCUUGAAGGUCGCCUGCCUGAUGCCACCAAGGGUUCUGACCAUCUGAGGGAUGUGUUUGUUAAGCAAAUGGGUCUUUCUGACAAGGACAUUGUCGCACUCUCUGGUGGCCAUACCUUGGGGAGGUGCCACAAGGAACGUUCAGGUUUUGAGGGACCAUGGACUGCUAAUCCACUUAUCUUCGACAACUCCUACUUCAAGGAACUUUUGAGCGGGGAAAAGGAGGGUCUUUUACAGUUGCCAUCAGACAAGGCUCUCCUCAGCGAUCCUGUCUUCCGCCCAUUGGUUGAGAAAUAUGCAGCGGAUGAAGAUGCUUUCUUUGCAGACUAUGCCGAGGCUCACAUGAAACUCUCUGAAUUGGGAUUUGCUGAGGCUUAAGCUGGAGAGCUGGGAGUGGCGCCAUGUUUUUCUAUUAAAGUUUCACUUCUAGUGGGCAGCUUAUUCGAACUGGUUUCAGUUUGGCUCUAGACAAAGACGUGACUACUUGGGCUUUGGCAUUAAUGCUAUAGAAAUCGGUUCAAAGAUUCGUGAAGCCUUUUGUCGAUUUAAAUGCUAAAAGUGUUGCCUCCGGUUGCCCUACUGGAUUUAUUUGGUUGUGCAUAUCUUAUUUGGACCAGUCUUCUCAAAUCUUUUGUUGUUUAGGCCGGUCCUUUGUGACUUGUAACGUGAUUAUAUGAGAACUCUUUUUUAAUUUUAUUUAGUA
This is an RNA transcript of Nicotiana tabacum (common tobacco), 1363 nucleotides long. It is a transcript of the gene named L-ascorbate peroxidase 1, cytosolic, with no coding region annotated. The record is from RefSeq and is a predicted model, not a curated record. Lineage: Eukaryota; Viridiplantae; Streptophyta; Magnoliopsida; Solanales; Solanaceae.